UGGUGAAGCUCCAGACAUGAUCCGGAC
This 27-nucleotide non-coding RNA is filed under the name Homo sapiens (human). The record is from RNAcentral. Lineage: Eukaryota; Metazoa; Chordata; Mammalia; Primates; Hominidae.